Molecule: long non-coding RNA, 824 nt
Filed under: Ananas comosus (pineapple)
Lineage: Eukaryota; Viridiplantae; Streptophyta; Magnoliopsida; Poales; Bromeliaceae
Description: long non-coding RNA (ACOM_LNC040829)
Source: RNAcentral
UGACAGAUCAAGUUUUCAUAAUUAUUUCUGCAAAAAUAAUAAUAAAUAGUAGUUAAAAUUUACUGCUUUAGAGAAAAAUGAGUGAAUACAAUUUACAAUAAGGGUGCGUUUGGCUCGCACUAUGAAAAAUUACUAGCAAUAAAAAGAUGUCCGAGAAUCUUAUUUCUAUUCAUUCUAUUACUAAGAAUUAAUGUGACAUUCCUGUGUUUGGUUCUCACGGUCAUAUUAUUUAGUCAUGUUAUUUAAAUUUACAAAAAAUAUACAAUUUAUUUAUUUUUUUAAUUAAUUUUAGAUAAUGCUACCAAAAAUUUCAACAUCUUUCUAAAAAAAAGGAAGAGAGAACAUGGAUUAGAGAGAGAGCAUAAUUAAAAAAAUAGAAAGAGAAAUAGAGUCAAGAUUAGAGGGAGUGAGAGAGUUGAGAUUUUAGAAAAAUAGGGAGAGAGAGAGCUUAAUUUAGAGAGAGAAAAAAAGUUGAAGUUUAGAAAGAAAAAGAUAAGUUUAGAGAAAGAUAUGAGGUUAGAGUGUAAAGAAAAGUAAUACCAACUAGCCGGCGGGUAGGAAGAAAGAAAGAGAUUAGACAUAUUAUGAUUAUCCCAAUCCAUUAAUAUGAGAAUACCCACCUUCCCUCAAGAAAAUGAGAUUAGUACUUUGGGAUGAAUCUUAUUCCCAAGUAAAUUCAAUAUUACCAACUAGAUUACUUAAUGCGUUUAGCCAAAUACCGUCAUAUUUUUUUUAUUUCAAUUGGAUUACUAUAAAUCUUAAAAAGAUAGUGCGAACCAAACUCACCCUAAUUGUUAUGUUCCUAUCAAAUAAAAGCCUAUGUU